This 870-nucleotide long non-coding RNA is filed under the name Rattus norvegicus (Norway rat). RNAcentral describes it as "long non-coding RNA NONRATT002678". Lineage: Eukaryota; Metazoa; Chordata; Mammalia; Rodentia; Muridae. The record is from RNAcentral.
UUGAAAGACCCCACCUCUGCCUUUCACAUUAAUAGUAAAAUUAUAUACCAUUGAUCAUGCUUCUUUUCAAGCCCACUAGAUGUAUGUUUAUGCUAGAUUUGUAAAAGACACCUUUUAAGAAUUCAGAGGAAACUACUGAAAACUGUAUUUCAUCCUGUGCUUCUCAAGGAAGCCGGUCGAGAGAGUGUAAUAAAGCCAUCUCAGAACUUUAUAAACACAUUAGCUGCCAUUGAGCAUGCACACAUCAGUAAGUAAAUACGUUCGUUCUGAAAUCACGCCAAGUAUGGACCAGCUAGUUCCCAGUCUGCUUGAUCACCAGGAGAGCACUAUAAAGAAGCCCUAUAGAUAACAAACAUGGGAGAGCAGUCUGCUCUCUCUGGUUAUUUCCGCAAGACUCUGGUGAUGCUGGAGAAUCAGUCACUGGCUUUUAAAAAUGGUUGUGCCCUGACUAAAGCACUUUAAAAUAAACAGUAAAGCCACAACCUUACCAAGUGUAACUUCAAGAUAAUAGAAAUAGUAGGUGAUAGACUUGACCUUGCCUUGGCUCUGGUUCUGCGAUAUUUGGCAGAUCAGGGUUCCAAGAGCCUCAGAGUUUUCAAAACACCUAAGAACCUUUUAAUAAUUAUGCAAACACCAGGACAGACUCAAACCAAAAGCAUGGCCUGUAAUUCUUUCCCAGAGAGAGCCAUUCCUUGACAGUAGCAGUAUGCGUGACUUUUUGAAGAAGACACAAAUGCUAAUCUUCAGAAUGCCUGCAUUCCUUAAUCUCAUGCUUGGCAUUUAGAAUUACAUAAGUAGCAAGAUACAGCAAAAUGCACAGGAUUACUGCUCAUUUUAAAGUUGGCUUCCAAACCAGAGAAAGAAAAAAAA